GUAAGCAUUUUACCUCAGGUGAGGGAAAUGUAGGCUAUUCGUUGACUGCUUUGGAGAACUUCUGAUUUACACAGCAAAAUUUGACUUCUCAGAGUUUUGAUUCCCAUAGUCACUAAUUACAUUGCAUAUGUUUCUAAAAUGUGUGUGAACCAGUAUUUGUUAAACAAAUCAAAUCACUAUUUAGAGUAACUAUAUUGUUAGGUAUUUUGUAAACUUUGUGAACUCAUUCUACAGUUCAUCUAGCUUGUUAAUUUGAUUGUAAUGGUAGAUUUUUUCUUAGAGGGAGAUGCAUUUCUACUUGAGAAGCAUCAUUAAAGAUCCCUUUCUCACCACUGUACGUAUAAAUCCCUGGUACUUGUUCCCUUUUUAAAAAGCCCGUUUUCCCAACCUCCUCAUCACAUAUGUAACUCCUUUUAGGUUCUCCAGAUUUCUGUUCCUGCCCUCCAUUGUGUCAUUCUUAUACCUUUGCAUCCUCAUAGCUUAGCUCCCACUUAUGAGUGAGAACGUAUGAUGUUUGGUUUUCCAUUCCUGAGUCACUUCACUUAGAAUAAUAGCCUCCCAUCUCAUCCAGGUUGCCACAGAACAGUUUUGCAACUGAUUUUGGUCAUGUUUUACAUAGAAUCACAUCACCUUCACCUUAUUUGAUGGAUGCUCAGUUAUAAGGAUAGCUAUGGUAACAGUAACAACAGCUCUUAUGAAUUGCAUCAUGCACUUACAGACAUUGGGCACUCUCUUCAUUUAACCUUCACUAUCAUGAUCUCUGAGGUUUGCUGGCUACCACUGAGUGCCUUGCAUCUUAACAUGAUGAAGUCUUGGAAGCCCAUCAACUCUCCCACUGUAGAGAAUUGGAUGGCUGUGCUGUGUUCCUCUUAUUCCUCCUAUACCUCCAUUUAUAGUAGUGCCUGAGCUCUGUCAGUUUUAACACAUCUACUGUCCACCCCUACUGCCGCUGGCCUGUUUGAGGAUACCAUCUGGAUCACCAUUGCCACCCCUAUUACUCUCCUGCCUCCAAUGUUAUCCCCCUUCCCAGGGCUGCUUUGGGAUCCUGUGUUGUUUCUGCCCUUUUGUCCGUGUCAUUUCACCAGUCUUAAGUGCUGUAUACCCCACUGUUUACUAACCUGGCCAAACAUCAAUCCCCCACCAGGCCUUGAUUUUGACAAUAACUCCCCCAGGAGGUCAUGCCUCUCAUGUCCUUCUUUUUGGGGGCCCAUAGCAUCCUUUCUUUAUCUCUCUUAUUACAUGUGUCAAGCUGUAUAAAUGUGGCCUGUUUUUUAAAUCUCUUCCUACAACUUGGUCACCAGCUCCUUGACAUCAGAUGUGGC
This 1322-nucleotide long non-coding RNA is filed under the name Homo sapiens (human). Its description in RNAcentral is "HSALNT0312260". Lineage: Eukaryota; Metazoa; Chordata; Mammalia; Primates; Hominidae. The record is from RNAcentral.